This is a long non-coding RNA of Brachypodium distachyon (stiff brome), 3525 nucleotides long. RefSeq lists it as uncharacterized. The record is from RefSeq and is a predicted model, not a curated record. NCBI's taxonomy places the organism in Eukaryota, Viridiplantae, Streptophyta, Magnoliopsida, Poales, Poaceae. The transcript has 3 exons.
UUUCGUUUUUCUCUGCUUCGUUCCGCAACAGCACGCAUUUAUUUUCCUCUCCAUAGACGCUGUUGUCCCUCUUGCCGCCGCCGCCGCACCUCCCUCGCGACUCGCGCCGCAGCCAGAGCACCUACGUCGUCGCUUGACGCGCAGGCACUGCCGCUGCCGAUGGCAACGGAGCACGUCCACCGCCAGAGCACCGCCGCCGCCGCGCAGCCCAUCCACCGUCGUCCUAACCGUGUGCAUCGCCCCGCCCUCUGCCGCUCGUCGACCAGCCGCCGUCACCCGCCCAUCCGCUGCCCGUCUGCGCCGACCCGAUUCUUGAUCACGGCUGCGCGCGGCUUGGCGGCAUCGCUGCUGCCUCAUGCCCAAGGCACCAUCCCCCAUCCACACCGUGGGUCUCGGGGCUACCGCGGCGCCUCGGGUUUUGAGCCCGCCGCCCUGCCUUUUCCUCCUCCGCCUACCCCGAUGCUGCGAUUUGCUUCCUUACCGACGUGGAUCGUGAAGUGCUUCUGCACCUACGGAGGCUCGGAAGGAAGGAUCCCACAACAUAGGUUUAGACCAUGACCCAUAUUCGUAUCUGUUGUUCCUUUUCCCCUUUCUUUAACAACAUAGGUUUAUGAGGAAGAAGCAAAACAAAUUUAUCGAUCAGUUGCCAGCGGACGGAUAUCUCUCUAAUCCCCGUUGUAUUAUGUGCUUUUCUUGUGUUAACAUUUGCAAGUAAUUACAAUAAUAUGUUUGAUAUUUUAAACAUAUUAGAACAAGACCAUUACAUUAAAAAACAUAUCAUCUGUAAAAUAUUACCAACUGUGCAAUGCAAUAUUAUGUUAGAUACUCUCUUCACUUCCAAGGAUAAAUCAUUUGGGCAUGGACCGUCUCGAAGGUACCACUUUGACAACUCUUUCAAUCAGUAAUAUAUACUCCCUCCGAUCCUAAAUUGUUAUCGAAAUAUUACAUGUAUCUAGACGCCUUUUAAGAAUAGAUACAUCCAUAUUUGUUAAAUUUGAGUCAAGAAUUUAGGAUCAGAGGGAGUAGUUUGUAGUCAUGGAGAACCUGAUUUCUGAUCGGGUAGACAAUAUGUCCAUGCAGAUAAAGUGUUUUUACAUUUGUUUAUGUACCCCAAUUGAUUGGAAAAUUUUGGUUUACAUUUGGCCUUGCGUUUUUUGUGUCCAGUACCAUUUAAAAUUUAAAUUCACAUAACUCUCUGUUAAUUAAUUAAUGUUAUUUUUAACUAAACGGUCAUGUUCACUUCAUGUUGAGAAUAUGAAAGAAUCAACACAUCAUCGAUAGUGAAAAAGGAGAUUUGUAACAUAACUAAAUUCAUACAUUGCAGCUUGAUGAUUGGCAUGGCAGGACAAAAAAUAUCAAUUUUGUAAAAAAGCAACAUGUGUGUUGUUUUUUAGUUAUAUAGUUUUUUUUGUUCUAGGUCAUGCCUUUUAAUUGUUUACCAUCACGUAAUUCACCAAAUGUUUUUAGUUUGGCGGAGCAGUCGUUGUGACCGUAUCCAAGAUCAACAAUGACAAUUGUUCUUGGCAUGUUUGAUGAUGCUUGGAGUGAACUUUCUGCUACUAUUUUUCCACUAACGUUUUGAGUCAUAUUUCAUUAGCUUACAAGAUAUUGUUUCUUGUGCCACAUAUUGCAGAUGAAAGGCCUAAUGAUAUUGUUGGAAGUGCAUAUUAUGUCGUCCCAGAGGUUCUACACACACAAAAUAAUAUGGAAGCAGACAUUGAGUAUAGGUGUCAUAAUAUACAUUCUGCUCUGUGGUAGUCAGCCAUUUUGGGCACAGACAGAAUCUGGAAUCUUCUGUAUAUGUGUUGAGAGCUGAUUUUAACCUUGAUGAUUCGCCCUGGCCUUCAGUGUUAGUUGAAGCUAAGGAUUUUGUGUGAAGAUUUCUGAACAAGGAUUACCUCAAAAGACGAAUGACUUCUAUCCAAGCAUUGACUCACCCAUGGUUGCAGGAUGAUCAAAGGCAGAUUCCAUUUACAUUCUUAUGUACAGAUUAAUUAAGCAAUACCUUUGUGAUGUACCUAUUAAACGUCUGGCACUAAAGGUAUAUCAUUAGGUGAUCAUAUACUUUUUAUUCAUCUCUCUCAUAAUCCCUGUCUGAAUAACCUGUACAUUUCCUUUAUUAUGUGCUCUUCUUGUGUCAGCAUCUGCAAAUACUUUUAAUAAUAAUUUUGGUACUUUAAACAUAUUGCCAACUGUGCAAUGCAGUGUUAGAUACUCUCUUUAGUUCCAAGGAUAAUCAUUUGGGCAUGGACUGUCUUAGAGGUACCACUUUGACUGCUAUUUUAAUCAUAGUAUGUUGAAAUAUAUGCUGGCUGGUAUAUCUCAUGGAGAAUCAGAUGAACCAGUAGUGGCCACCCGGGAUACUUUUCUCUUUGAACUGACGGUAAAAGUCAAUCUUACAAAAUACGUCAAUUUUCGUAUUUUUUGAUUCGGGAGCUUCAUAGGAUGCUGGUUGGUAUAUCUCAUGGAGAAUCGAAUGAAACAAUAGUGGCCACCUGGCAACUUUUUCUUUAGACCGAUGGUAAAAGUGGAUAAUAGUAACUUCACGAUGGAUCAUAUUUUGCUUCACUAGCUCCAUUUAUGGUAAAAUUAAUUUUGCUUCUCUAUCUCCAUUUAAGGUUAAAUUUGUGGAAGGUUCAAACUGAAGUCCAAUUGACUGAGAGCAAACGGAAUCAUUUCACUUGAGUAAGAAACAGGGUAGUAUACUAGCAUUGACAGAACAAUACCCUGAGGUAGUUUUUACAUCGUUCUGAUUAGUAUUGACCUUUAAAUAAUCACUGCUCCCUUUUUUAUUUUGUGAAAUCCUUUACUAUUUGUAGCAUUGCUUCACCAGGACAUGUAUGGGAUAUCAAGCUUAAUCCUUUAAUAUGAAAACCUCCGUGUAUUUUUAAUUGAGGUCAUGUCUUUGAACUGAGCAAGUUUGAAGUAAAGUCCUUGUAUGUGCUUGUCCAAGUGUCCCAUUAUGUUGGUUGAUAUUCUCAAGUUUGGCACACAUUUCUUUGUCUCCUUGCUUACAUAAUACAUAUGAAUUAUAAAUGUGCUAGGCUGCAUUUUCAUGAUGUAUUGCUUUAUGCUUUCCUUUCUUUAAGAACUCAUGUUUUUCCUUUUGAUCUACAGGUUGCUAAUCUUUUGUGCCUGCACCUUACAGUUAGCUAUAAAGGGGCAGAAUUGAGUAAAUUCAAACUCAGAACUGAGGUAAAAAAAAUGUUCUGUGAUAUGAAAUCGCUAUUCUGCCCACGUGCCUACUUCGAUCCAUGCCAUCUAGCAAUACAAGUCAACCAAGAGCUGUCAGGGUACUUCCCCAUCGACUUGUGCUUCCGGUAGCAGUUAUCAUAUUACAAUCGUUAGUGAAGAAUGAGUCUUUGUUCCUGUUAAACACGUAUUGAUAGGCUCAUUGACUUGUACCUUUUGAUAUUUCAGUUAUGAUUCUGUUAGCCGGUUUUUCUAUAUGUACUUAAGUGGAAUGAUGUCAUUUCUGGUGACAAGCUGAAGUGCAUACAAAGUGCUUAACUAUUUAUGUCAUCA